CCUUCAAAAUUUUGGAUGCAAAACCUACGCUGAAAUAUUAUUUACCACUUUGAUGCAAUUUGGCCGAGUAGCAAUAAGAUCAUAUCUGGUGUUCUGUUCGAUAGCGUGCCAUCUGUAAGUAUCCAUCCACAAGCAAGUUGGGCCUAUUGGAUCAUGGAUUUAAAGACGUUGUCAUCGAAAUAAAACUAUCCAAUUUCUUCUUUGAUAUAGAGCUAGUUCACUCGUUGCCUAGACCUAUUUAGUUAAGGCUGUCUGUAAAAUUUACCAAACGCAUCAAUUGUGUCCCUGAUAACGUGCGUCGAUUUUGGAUUGUCAAAUAUGAUUACAGUAGAUCUGUUAUUAGCUUGCAGUUCUCCUUUGUUCUCAUGCGUAGAUGUGAUAGAAUCCUCCCAUUGCUAUAGCUUCUAACUGAAUUUAGGAACGUGAUUCGAUUAUAAAUUAUUUAUAAUAAUCGAUUAUUAAGGGAUGUAACGGAUUGUCAAUAUAAACAGACAGAUCUCACUAGUAUUUAUACAUUUGUGACACAUGUUACAAGACGUAGUUCUCCAUGAUAUACUGUACUAUUGCAAACACGUUAUUGAGAUUAGCGUUUGACGCUAAUCUGUCCUAUAAAAAAACUACAAAAACUGUAGAACAAACAAUAGCUAUAAGACAAUGUUUGGUACAUGAUAUUUCAUAUUCAUGAUUUGAGAUCAUUUAGAGACUAUGUGCAAAAAUAAAAAUUCAAAGAAUGUAUCCAUAAGUGAAAUUUGAUUAAAGAUGAGAGAUAAAAUUUAUGGUGAUAAUCGCAGAUUUUUUAAAACCAGGGAAGAACGUUCCAAGAUAAAAAAAUAAAUUCUACCACCGAUAAAGCAAGAUUAAAAGUUAAAUGAUUAAAAUAAAGAGCAGAAAAUCUGUAUGUGAAAGUAAAAACCGACAGAAAAGAUUUAUAUACAGUCUAAGGAGUUGGAGAUAUAGGUUGGUAGCGUUGUUUGCUAAGACCAAAUAAUCCAAAUCUCCUGCACAAAUAAAUUGAGAAUAAAAUAAUGAUAGUUAAAGCAACAGGAAUCAAACCCAAAUAAAGCCAUUUGUAGUUUCCAUUACCUAAAUCCGGAGAGGGUUUAGGUACCGAUGGUAAGCUGGCAAAGUCAUUAUUAAAGAAAGCAGUAAUCAAGGUCUUCAUUUCAUUAGGAUGAUCGUAUGGAACCAUGUGACUAGCUUCAACUAUGCGAGCAAAGGUCAGGUUCCGGGAACUAACAUAGGAGCCCGAUGGUUGAUCAGAAUAGCCCGGAAGAUAAAAUGGUUGAGCAGAUUGAUUUUGAAAACCAACAGCACCAUUCCACUCCAGUGAUCGGGUUAAUUUUUCGCCAGAUAAAUAAUUACAAAGAAAGUCAUUUUCGCCGUAAAACAACAAAAUAGGAACCGUAGAUACAAGGUCCUGGAUUAACUUAGAUGAGGACUCAAUCCCUUCACGAGCAUAUUGUAGGGCAACGUCGUCAUUACAUUCUUCCCAAUCAUGAACCUUUUCGAGGUU
Molecule: non-coding RNA, 1513 nt
Organism: Schizosaccharomyces pombe (fission yeast)
Lineage: Eukaryota; Fungi; Ascomycota; Schizosaccharomycetes; Schizosaccharomycetales; Schizosaccharomycetaceae
Source: the annotation of a GenBank genome assembly